Molecule: ribosomal RNA, 490 nt
Filed under: uncultured bacterium
Lineage: Bacteria
Description: partial 16S ribosomal RNA
Rfam family: Bacterial small subunit ribosomal RNA
Source: RNAcentral
AUUGAACGCUGGCGGCAGGCCUAACACAUGCAAGUCGAACGGUAACACGGAUCAUCUUGCUGAUUCGCUGACGAGUGGCGGGCGGGUGAGUAAUGUCUGGCAUACUCCCUGAUUGAGGGGGAUAACUACUGGAAACGGUUGCUAAUACCGCAUAACGUCGCAAGACCAAAGAGGGGGACCUUCGUGCCUCUUGCCAUCGUGUAUGCCCAGAUGGGAUUAGCUAGUAGGUGGGGUAACGUCUCACCUCGGCGAGGAUCCCUAGCUGGUCUGAGAGGAUGACAAGCCACACUGGAACGGAGACACGGUCCAGACUCCUACGGGAGGGAGCAGUGGGGAAUAUUGGACAAUGGGCGCAAGCCUGAUGCAGCCAUGCCGCGUGUAUGAAGAAGGCCUUCGGGUUGUAAAGUACUUUCAGCGGGGAGGAAGGGAGUAAAGUUAAUACCUUGGCUCAUUGACGUUACCCGCAGAAGAAGCACCGGCUAACUCCGUG